RNAcentral lists this unclassified non-coding RNA (1539 nucleotides) under Hevea brasiliensis (rubber tree). The record is from RNAcentral. Lineage: Eukaryota; Viridiplantae; Streptophyta; Magnoliopsida; Malpighiales; Euphorbiaceae.
AAGCUUUCUACCGCUUUAGCCCGGCGAAUAGCCUUAAUGGCAGUCUUCUCAGCUUCCCCUCGCUUGAUUGACUCAUCAAAUGCUUCUCGCUUAAACUUUUCAGCCUCCAUCAAAGCUUGCUCCAUUUGAUCAUAAAGCUGAUAAGUAUUACUUUCCUCCAAUGCAUCAAGAUUAUGUAAAUGACUAUCUUCCUCUGAUUGAGAUUCUUCACAUAAUUCUAACUCCAGUCCAGUCUCCUCAGUUCUCCUGUGCGUAUGAGGUAUCCCUUGCAAACAUACCAAACUUGACAGCUAAGAGGAACACGCUGCUGGACAUAUUUGGCCUUCCUGGACUUGAGAUCCAUCAUGUCCUCUGAAUAGUGUUUGUCAGCUGCUGCUCCCAUAACAAGCUUUUUGAUAUCAUGCUGGUAUACGAGCUCCACAAUCCCUUUCCCUAUAUCAUCCAUUUCAAUAAAUAGCUUUUCUGCUUGGACCUUCAAAAUCAAUCCAAGAAUGCUUAAAUGCUUCAGGUUUAAGGUUUGCAACAUGAAACAGUUCUAGAAAACAUCGGAGGCAAAUUUUGAAAGAUCAACAGAGAGGGCAUUGCUUUUGGGGAAAAUUUUCUGAAUUAGUGUUUUGCUUCAAUUAUUUCGGCCAAUUGACCAUGAUUGUAAAAGGAGACAUCAAAAGUGACAUUAGCGUAGCUUUAAUCUCUGACCCUAUUCUUGAAUACAAAAUCCCAUUUCACUUCUGACAAUGAAUUGGGUCUUGGCGAAUGGGGUCAACUCCUUCCAUAUUAGCAAACAGACAGAGGGCGUAAAUUGAAGAUUCAAAACUAAAAACAAUUCAGAAAAUAGGAGUCCUGAAUGUUAAUAAUGGAAAGCAAUAAGCAUUAAGCUCCAUAAUCUUGUAGUCUAGUGCUUGAUAAAAAAAAUAAAUAAAGAAGAAAAAAAAAAGAAGUAUCUUUGUUUAAUUUAGUGCAAAAGAGGCAGAUACUCUGAAACACAUUAGUAUUCAGCUGUUGCAACAAUUAAUAAUGAUAAUAAUAAUAAUAUAUGAGCAAGUGAUGGAAGAUGAAUUAUACUUCAACUUGGUUACACAAGAGAAGGUAAUACUCAAGGAUCCUGCGCACAAUCUUCCUUUCAAGUUCUUGGAAUUCUCUGAGUUCUUGUUGCUCAAGUCUGUCAGCAAGGAAUUUUCCGCCAACUGCAAACAGAAAGAAAAUAGAGGAGUCAGAGAACCCACAAAGUGACAAGAUCUGAAGGCUCGAGAAAGCAUCCAAUCGAGAAUUAUAGGUUUAAUCCACAGAAAUUUGAUCGUAUUGUUUUACCGCAGGGGAUCAUUUUUGAAGGCUGAUGAACAUGAAGAAUGCAAAUUUUCUUGCCAGGAAAAUUCUCUAAUGCCCAUAACAAAGUUAACUUGUGUUGUUCAACAUCUUUUCCCAGAGUCACAUAUACAGUAUCAUCUGCCCCUUGGGACACUGAUUCCCUUGAGGUCUCAGAAUCCGAAGUUGCCAUUAACAAGUCUCAAGUCAGAAAUACCCAGUCGAUGAAAUUGUGAG